AGUGAACGCUGGCGGUGUGCUUAACACAUGCAAGUCGAACGAGAACGGUACUAGCUUGCUAGUAUGUCAGCUAAGUGGCGGACGGGUGAGUAAUGUAUAGUUAAUCUGCCCUUUAGAGGGGGAUAACAGUUGGAAACGACUGCUAAUACCCCAUACUCCUUUCUACUUAAUGUAGAUUGGGAAAUGUUUUUUCGCUAAAGGAUGAGACUAUAUGGUAUCAGGUAGUUGGUGGGGUAAGAGCCCACCAAGCCUAUGACGCCUAGCUGGUCUGAGAGGAUGAUCAGCCACACUGGAACUGAGACACGGUCCAG
Molecule: ribosomal RNA, 311 nt
Filed under: uncultured bacterium
Lineage: Bacteria
Description: bacterial SSU rRNA
Rfam family: Bacterial small subunit ribosomal RNA
Source: RNAcentral